This 767-nucleotide ribosomal RNA is filed under the name Isoptericola sp. DBQ_17Q. RNAcentral's name for it is "bacterial SSU rRNA". It matches the Rfam family "Bacterial small subunit ribosomal RNA", at positions 664 to 1430 of the family's 1533-position model. The record is from RNAcentral. Lineage: Bacteria; Bacillati; Actinomycetota; Actinomycetes; Micrococcales; Promicromonosporaceae.
GAAUUCCUGGUGUAGCGGUGGAAUGCGCAGAUAUCAGGAGGAACACCGAUGGCGAAGGCAGGUCUCUGGGCCGCAACUGACGCUGAGGAGCGAAAGCAUGGGGAGCGAACAGGAUUAGAUACCCUGGUAGUCCAUGCCGUAAACGUUGGGCACUAGGUGUGGGACUCAUUCCACGAGUUCCGUGCCGCAGCUAACGCAUUAAGUGCCCCGCCUGGGGAGUACGGCCGCAAGGCUAAAACUCAAAGGAAUUGACGGGGGCCCGCACAAGCGGCGGAGCAUGCGGAUUAAUUCGAUGCAACGCGAAGAACCUUACCAAGGCUUGACAUGCACCGGACGCUGCCAGAGAUGGUGGUUCCGCAAGGUCGGUGCACAGGUGGUGCAUGGUUGUCGUCAGCUCGUGUCGUGAGAUGUUGGGUUAAGUCCCGCAACGAGCGCAACCCUUGUCCUAUGUUGCCAGCGGGUUAUGCCGGGGACUCAUGGGAGACUGCCGGGGUCAACUCGGAGGAAGGCGGGGAUGACGUCAAAUCAUCAUGCCCCUUAUGUCUUGGGCUUCACGCAUGCUACAAUGGCCGGUACAGAGGGCUGCGAUACCGUAAGGUGGAGCGAAUCCCAAAAAGCCGGUCUCAGUUCGGAUUGGGGUCUGCAACUCGACCCCAUGAAGUCGGAGUCGCUAGUAAUCGCAGAUCAGCAACGCUGCGGUGAAUACGUUCCCGGGCCUUGUACACACCGCCCGUCAAGUCACGAAAGUUGGUAACACCCGAAGCUCA